UGCUCUCUCUCUCUCUCCUGCCCCCUCCCCACAUGACUCGUCCUUGUGGCCUCACCCUGCUCUCGCCGCACCUCUGCUGCCACACCUUGUUGCCAUGCUGAUCAUCAUUCCUGCUUCCCUCCCGAGGAGGGGGCAUCCCUUUGCUCCUCGCCACAUCUGCUCAUCGCCGCCACUCAUGUGCUCACAGCCUUGGCUCCUCCCCCAAGCCACCCACCAGUGCUCAUGGCCAUCCCUCAUCAUCAUCUUCCUGGCUCAUCAGGAUUCAUCAUCUUCUCCAUGUGCCCAUAGCCGUCAUCACCACCUUCUUCCUGCCUGGAUCUGUCCAAGGUCAUCUCCUCACAUCUCCAGCAGUUGUACUCCUCCAGUCAUCCGCUGUCACUUCCUCACCGACAUUUAGGAACGUUGUCUUGCUCCCUGGUGAACCUAUGGGCCACACAAACAUCAUCACUCACGCUAUUCAUCUGAUGUCUGGGUACAUCUUACACUCUCAGCUACAAGGUGCCACACAGUCGUCGUGUUCUGCUUGAUGAAGCUGUGCGAGCAACCAUUUCAGAGAUCCCCAGAACCUAGUCAGGAAUGCUGGUAUACUUACAGCAGCAACACCUCCAGCAAAUCCAUAGGACUUUGAUGGCUCUCAGCUGACCAGAGGACCAAUAUAUGCCAAGAUAUGCUGACAAGACAAGGACAUGAAAGCCCUGGCACAAGUAUCUAAACAAGGGCAACUGCAGAAUGAAGCUGCUGUCACAAUCAUCAUCCCCAGCACAAACUUUGCUGCCAAUUUGCCUCUGCUACAGAUUCCAGCAAAGUUGGGAGCUGCUAAUUGUCAGUUUAUUGUGGAUAUAGAAGCCUCAGCUUCCAGUGUACCCAGGAAUGAGAGAGUAGGAGCAAUGAGAGUGUAUAUGAGAAGUGUAGUAAGAGUGCCUGUGCAAUUGCUGUAAACUGUGGAAUGGUAAAAUUAGUGAAAGGGGACACAGUGAGAUGGUAUGACCAUUUUUAGAGAAUGAAGAGUGAAGAAAUUGUAAAGAAAGUGCUAAUUGUUGAGGUAGGUCAUUUGGAAGAUGGAAGGAUAGGGUAAAAGAGCACAAGUAAGAAAGAUGUGUUACUAGAGGCCAAGUGCUUGAACAAACAAAAGGAAAAUGAUUAGAUAGGAAGAGGUGGAGGCUCUUCUGUCAUGACUACUGACUUGGGGGAUGCUCCAGGAGGCAGUAAGGCAUCAGGGAUAUAGAACAACCAACCAGAAGUACUUGAAUUAGUAAACUAGCUUUCUUUUUAACUCCAGUCCACAUUAUUAAUUAUUGAAAAGUUUAUAUAUACAUUGCCUUUAUUACUAUUAUUACUACAAGUACUAUAUUCAAUUCCAAAUCUUGAGAAAUAUAAGCCCCUCCCAGGUGGGGAUAUUCAUUCUGAAUGAGCUUAACUGGAGGUAUAGAUUUUUGGGAUGGGGUGUGAGUCCUCUGGUAAAGCUCUGACUUCACUUGUCUCCACCCCUAGUACACUACCUGGCCUCAGGAAUAGAAACAGUCAGAUUUAUUCACUUAAGAAUUGCUCUCUCUCUCUCUCUCUCUCUCUCUCUUUAUAUAUAUAGUGUGUGUGUGUGUGUGUGUGUGUGUGUCUAUGUAUAUAUAUAUGUAAGAAGUUGAAGUGGGCGCGCCUGCGAGAGGCUCACAGACUAGUCAGCGAGUCCCGCCAAAACGAGUCUUAAGGCCCUGGAGGUUUGUUGUUGUGGGAAUUUUGGCGGGAGAGGCGAGCGAGAGAGAGACAGGGUGCAGAGUAGUGGUGGAUUUGCCAUUUGAUUUGCAGGUAUGUUAUUGGGAUUUGUUGUAUUCUUUCAUGGUGAAACAGUGUACAUUGGGGGACAUUAUUGGGAGAUAGGGUGGUGAUUUGUACGCUUGGUUGGCAGGAGUUUGGUCUUGGCAGUGUGCUGUGGGACGUCAGUGAGGUGGCACCGUAGCAGAUACUGUGAACUAGGAGGCUGCAGUGAGGAACUUGCUGUCCCUGGCUGCUAUGGUGUUAGUACCGCCGUGCAUGGAGGAAGAGCUGCAGUACUUCAGGGUAGUGGUAGUGGCGUACCUUCAGCGCGUUGGGUCGGUGUGCGGUUGGGCCUAUAGGGUGUGAGGGUCCUGGGGGUACUGGUUAGGGUGGGACUGUCAGUGGCAUAUAACAUUUCUUGUGUUGGUGCGUGAAGUGUUUAUUUCUCCUGUUUAUUUGUAUGUGGAUUUACCCAUUUUCUCAUGGGAUCAGGUAUUUUGGAGUGCCAGCAGUGUGGCCUCUAAGAGUGUUAAGCACUCAUAUUUUAUUUGUGUUUUCUUUAUUAUGUACUCAUUUGUGUUUUCUUUAUUAUGUAUUCAAUCAUUAAAUUUUUAAAUUGUG
Long non-coding RNA from Scylla paramamosain (green mud crab), 2370 nucleotides. RefSeq lists it as uncharacterized. The record is from RefSeq and is a predicted model, not a curated record. Lineage: Eukaryota; Metazoa; Arthropoda; Malacostraca; Decapoda; Portunidae. The transcript has 3 exons.